AAAGGGAGACCUAAUUCAGGUAGGAGACGAAAAAAAAGUAGUCCCUACCAAGAAUCAAUCCCAAAAGGUCGGAGCGAGGCAAAAUUGGCUUUCAAACUAGGUUCUGGGUUCACACAAGACCUGAAUCAGGAACAAGGGCUAUUAGCUCAGGUGGUUAGAGCGCACCCCUGAUAAGGGUGAGGUCCCUGGUUCGAGUCCAGGAUGGCCCACCUGUACAGGUGGCAAAAAGGAGGAAUCAGCACCUUAUCUUACUUAUAUAGUAAGAGAGAAUGCUGGCUCUGAGUUCAGAGUCCAGAGGAACCUUGAAAACUGCAUAGAGCUAGGUGAAAAAGCCAAAAAAGAAGACCGCAAG
RNAcentral lists this transfer RNA (352 nucleotides) under uncultured Microcystis sp. Its description in RNAcentral is "partial 16S-23S ribosomal RNA intergenic spacer". The stretch from base 136 to 209 matches the Rfam family "tRNA". The record is from RNAcentral. Lineage: Bacteria; Bacillati; Cyanobacteriota; Cyanophyceae; Chroococcales; Microcystaceae.